GUUAAAGUGGCAGAGUUGAAAUGCGAGGAAUUUAAGCUUCCUCUAAGGUUAUUAACCCUUUAAUG
RNAcentral lists this transfer RNA (65 nucleotides) under Ixodes ovatus. Its description in RNAcentral is "tRNA-Leu". The record is from RNAcentral. Lineage: Eukaryota; Metazoa; Arthropoda; Arachnida; Ixodida; Ixodidae.